Molecule: long non-coding RNA, 1547 nt
Organism: Leucoraja erinaceus (little skate)
Lineage: Eukaryota; Metazoa; Chordata; Chondrichthyes; Rajiformes; Rajidae
Exons: 2
Source: RefSeq, a predicted model, not a curated record
UCCCUCCUCGGCAGCGGGCCAAGCAGCAGCCGGUUUCACCGUGCGCGCGCUCAGCCAACCGCCGCCUCAGCAGCGAGCCAGUCAACUGUCAACCGCCAGUUCGCCCAGCCCACCCCCGCGCGUGCGUGCCGGGGCCCGCCAAUUAACAGCCAGAAAAACCCAUACUCCCGCCUCAGCAGCGCGUGGGACAUGUCAGUCAAAUACAAACCCCGCCCCCCACCUCAAUCAGCCUCUAGCAUAAUCUUUGGCCUCUAGUGCAGCCCAAAGAUCCUGGAGGAGUAUAGGAUCUUUGGUGCAGCCCCUGCCCGCGUUCCCUAUGUCUCGUCAGUUGGGCGAUGAAUGAAUCCUGCCCAAAGAUUCCUGCCUUAGCAACCAGCCCGGCCCCAACCUUGCAGGGUCACCACAGCACUCACUCAGAAUAACAUAGCCCUAUUAACUAUAGUUUAUUUACAAAGAGAAAAUAACAUCUUACCCAUUAAAUGAGUGGCAGACCAUCAGUUUAGGUUAGUUUGGAGAUACAGCGCGAGAACAAGCCCUUCGGCCCACCAGGUCCGCGCCGACAAGCGAUCCCCGCAUUGUAACACUAUCCCGCACACACGGGACAUUUUUUACAUUAAAAAAAAAUAUUAGAAGCAAUUGUACAAAGAUAAAACGUUCGGCAUCUAGAAUUAUACAAUUAUUGUACAGCUUCAUUUUUAACCUUAUAACCUAAAUUGUGAAAUUAGAAAAAAUGGGAAAAGAAAAAGCAAGAAAAGUAGAAAAGAAGAAAGGAAAAAGUGAAAAGAGAGAAGAACGAGGAAAAAGUCCCCUAAACUACCAAAGCAGUGAAGCAGAAAGAUAGAGGAAUAAGAAAAAAUGGAGAUAUACCUUGCCCCCUCCCACCCCCCCAAUAUUUGUUUCACCAUACUAUUCUUGUAAACAUUCAGUGAAGGGUUGUCCAUGUCUUAAGAAAUUGAUCUGGUUUUUCCUCCAAGACAAGCCUAAUGUUUUCCAAAUGUAGUGACAGCCAUAUCUGUAAUCCACAUCUUCACUGCAGGGACUGUUGGCUGUUUCCAAAAUCCAAUUUACCUGCACACCUGGACGUCUUUGGAGUGUGGGAGGAAACCGAAGAUCUCGGAGAUAACCCACGCGAGCACAGGGAAAACGUACAAACCUCCAUACAGACAGCAAACAUAGUCGAGAUCAAUCUAGCAUCUUUGGUCGGGAUCGAACCUGUGUCUACGGCGCUGCAAGCGCAGUAAGACAGCAACUCUACUGCUGCGCCACCCACCUCUGAACCAUCUCUGGGUGUCUACACUCAAGGCAGAAGUAGAAAUUGUGGAUGAAUGGAUACCUGUGAGGUUAUAUCAACACCAACUUUAAUUUAGAAACAAGGAACGGCAGAUGUUGCUCAGCAGAUGACUGCACAAAAGGACACGCAGUGUUGAAGCAGCUCAGUGGGUCAGGCAGCAUCUCUGAAGAACUUCAAAUUAGUUAUCCAUGGAGUUUCUGGCUCAAAACCAAAAGAUAUCUGCACUGGUUUUAAAGAUUUAUAAAAUAUUACACAA